RNAcentral lists this ribosomal RNA (501 nucleotides) under uncultured bacterium. RNAcentral describes it as "partial 16S ribosomal RNA". It matches the Rfam family "Bacterial small subunit ribosomal RNA", at positions 28 to 523 of the family's 1533-position model. The record is from RNAcentral.
GAUGAACGCUAGCGGCAGGCCUAACACAUGCAAGUCGAGGGGCAGCACAGAAACAGCAAUGUUUUGGUGGCGACCGGCGGACGGGUGCGUAACGCGUAUGCAACCUACCUUUAACAGGGGGAUAACGAAGAGAAAUUUCCACUAAUACCCCAUAACAUCGAUCAAGGCAUCUUGAUUGGUUGAAAACUCUGGUGGUUAAAGAUGGGCAUGCGUUGUAUUAGGUAGUUGGUGAGGUAAUGGCUCACCAAGCCUACGAUACAUAGGGGACUGAGAGGUUAGCCCCCCACACUGGUACUGAGACACGGACCAGACUCCUACGGGAGGCAGCAGUGAGGAAUAUUGGUCAAUGGGGGCAACCCUGAACCAGCCAUGCCGCGUGCAGGAAGACGGCUCUAUGAGUUGUAAACUGCUUUUAAACAGGGAUAAAGCACAGCAUGUAUACUGUGUUGAAGGUACUGUAAGAAUAAGGAUCGGCUAACUCCGUGCCAGCAGCCGCCGUAA